Molecule: ribosomal RNA, 521 nt
Filed under: uncultured bacterium
Lineage: Bacteria
Description: bacterial SSU rRNA
Rfam family: Bacterial small subunit ribosomal RNA
Source: RNAcentral
AGAGUUUGAUCCUGGCUCAGAACGAACGCUGGCGGCAUGGUUUAGGCAUGCAAGUCGAACGGUCCUGAACAUCACUCGAAACAGCCUGCUGUAUCGGGCGUUCAGAAUAGUGGCGAAAGGGUGAGUAACACGCAAGUAACCUGCCCUUAAGUGGGGGAUAACCCCGGGAAACCGGGGCUAAUACCGCAUGUGGUGACAGGACUGAUGUCUUGUCUCUAAAGCCUUCGGGCGCUUGAGGAGGGGCUUGCGUCCGAUUAGCUAGUUGGUAGGGUAACGGCUUACCAAGGCAGUGAUCGGUAGCUGGUUUGAGAGGACGGUCAGCCACACUGGGACUGAGACACGGCCCAGACUCCUACGGGAGGCAGCAGCAAGGAAUUUUGUGCAAUGGGCGAAAGCCUGACACAGCGACGCCGCAUGGGGGAUGAAGGCUUUCGGGUUGUAAACCCCUUUUCUCAGGGAAGAGUAAUGACGGUACCUGAGGAAUAAGUCUCGGCUAACUACGUGCCAGCAGCCGCGGUAAU